Molecule: ribosomal RNA, 404 nt
Filed under: uncultured bacterium
Lineage: Bacteria
Description: bacterial SSU rRNA
Rfam family: Bacterial small subunit ribosomal RNA
Source: RNAcentral
UGAGGAAUUUUGCGCAAUGGGCGAAAGCCUGACGCAGCGACGCCGCGUGGACGAAGAAGGCCUUCGGGUUGUAAAGUCCUGUCAGUGGGGACGAUGAUGACGGUACCCGCUGAGGAAGCUCCGGCUGACUCCGUGCCAGCAGCCGCGGUAAGACGGAGGGAGCAAGCGUUGUCCGGAAUUACUGGGCGUAAAGAGCUCGUAGGCGGAAAUUUAAGUCUGAGAGUAAAUCCAUCGGCUUAACUGGUGGCUCAUCUUGGAUACUGGGUUUCUUGAGGGCAGGAGAGGAAAGGGGAAUUCCUGGUGUAGCGGUGAAAUGCGUAGAUAUCAGGAAGAACACCUGUGGCGAAGGCGCCUUUCUGGCCUGUUCCUGACGCUGAGGAGCGAAAGCUAGGGGAGCGAACGGG